AACGAACGAUGGCGGCAGGCCUAACACAUGCAAGUCGAGCGAGGACUUCGGUCCUAGCGGCGGACGGGUGAGUAACGCGUGGGAACGUGCCCUUUGCUUCGGAAUAGCCCUGGGAAACUGGGAGUAAUACCGGAUGAGCCCUUUGGGGGAAAGAUUUAUCGGCGAAGGAUCGGCCCGCGUUGGAUUAGGUAGUUGGUGGGGUAAUGGCCUACCAAGCCGACGAUCCAUAGCUGGUUUGAGAGGAUGAUCAGCCACACUGGGACUGAGACACGGCCCAGACUCCUACGGGAAGCAGCAGUGGGGAAUCUUAGACAAUGGGGGAAACCCUGAUCUAGCCAUGCCGCGUGAGCGAUGAAGGCCUUAGGGUUGUAAAGCUCUUUCAGCUGGGAAGAUAAUGACGGUACCAGCAGAAGAAGCCCCGGCUAACUCCGUG
Molecule: ribosomal RNA, 433 nt
Filed under: uncultured bacterium
Lineage: Bacteria
Description: partial 16S ribosomal RNA
Rfam family: Bacterial small subunit ribosomal RNA
Source: RNAcentral